Molecule: ribosomal RNA, 420 nt
Filed under: Inocybe cryptocystis
Lineage: Eukaryota; Fungi; Basidiomycota; Agaricomycetes; Agaricales; Inocybaceae
Description: eukaryotic LSU rRNA
Rfam family: Eukaryotic large subunit ribosomal RNA
Source: RNAcentral
UUGACCUCAAAUCAGGCAGGACUACCCGCUGAACUUAAGCAUAUCAAUAAGCGGAGGAAAAGAAACUAACAAGGAUUCCCCUAGUAACUGCGAGUGAAGCGGGAAAAGCUCAAAUUUAAAAUCUGGCAGUUUUUGACUGUCCGAGUUGUAAUCUAGAGAAGUGUUACCUGUGCUGGACCAUGUACAAGUCUUCUGGAAUGGAGCAUCAUAGAGGGUGAGAAUCCCGUCUUUGACAUGGACUACCUGUACAUUAUGGUGCGCUCUCAAAGAGUCGAGUUGUUUGGGAAUGCAGCUCAAAAUGGGUGGUAAAUGCCAUCUAAAGCUAAAUAUUGGCGAGAGACCGAUAGCGAACAAGUACCGUGAGGGAAAGAUGAAAAGAACUUUGGAAAGAGAGUUAAACAGUACGUGAAAUUGCUGAAA